Non-coding RNA from Zopfochytrium polystomum, 99 nucleotides. NCBI's taxonomy places the organism in Eukaryota, Fungi, Chytridiomycota, Chytridiomycetes, Chytridiales, Chytridiaceae. The record is from the annotation of a GenBank genome assembly.
GCCUGGUUAGCUCAAUCGGUAGAGCGUGUGACUCUUAGCUAACCCUAGAUAGGGGUCUCUGCAAUCACAAGGCUGUGGGUUCGACCCCCACAUCGGGCG